This 1036-nucleotide long non-coding RNA is filed under the name Gallus gallus (chicken). RNAcentral describes it as "long non-coding RNA NONGGAT003393". The record is from RNAcentral. Lineage: Eukaryota; Metazoa; Chordata; Aves; Galliformes; Phasianidae.
GGACCAGGGAUGGAAAAUAAGUGCCACCAGAGGUGCUCCAUCUACCUGUCCCUUGCCUCUAUGAGCCCCACUCAGCCCUGCUGGCUUUCCAAGGUUAAAAGUCUGAUCCGCCGCCUGCUGUACACACAGUCAUCAAGUGAGUGCAGUGAACGCCUCUCAGAACACAAAGCAAUAUCAGGCAGACAGCAGAUCAAACAAGCUCCAGCCGCCAGGGGAGGCAACCAGUAGGGCCGCGCUUCCCACUGAUUUCCCCAGCCCUUACUUGGUGGGGAAAGGGUUAUUAAACCCUUUUGCUUUGCUCUAAGUGCUGCAAAUAGAACGAUAAAUCCAAAUAACGAGGUGCAUGCUGUUCCCCCAUCUGUAUGUGCUGUGGAUGACAGGCAGGGACCAAACACGGAAAGGAAUCUGUAAGUAUAGCUGGAGGCUAUUGUGUCCAGCAUGGAGCUGACUCCUGCAGUGUGGUAAGGUGUACACCUUGUUCUCGUGUCGUGCAGCUGUAGCUGCCGUGUCUUGUGAGACUGUUGUUCUUCAUGCUGGGGUUCUCUGUGCCAGUGACCCCCACUCAUCCCAUUUUGUGGCUCAGUACCCACUCAGACAAGCUAUAGAAAAGAGAGGUGGUAUUCCGAAAUUGGAACAGCAGUCCUCAAACUGUUCAUUUUGCAUCCACAUCCCUGAUUUCCCCCUCAUCUGCCCCACUAAGGGAGGUGACAAGUACAAUUGCACCAGGAAGGACCACCUCCCCCAUUGCAGUCCCUGUGGAUUAUUAAGCCCAGCCCAUGGGGACCCUUGGCCACAAACAGCUGAUGAAAAGUCUUCUUAAGGGGACUGCUUCUCAAAUAAAUCCUACCUUGUCAGGUUUGAGGUUGCCCACAUUAGUCAGGGCCUGGCUCAGAAGCUUGGAGCUUUGCUUGUGGCUGUUACCUGGAUAGCAAAUGCAAGGGCUGCCAGCAAAGAGAGAGUGGGCAGGGAUUGCACCACAUUGGUCCAAGGAAGCCCUCAGUGUUGUAGGGCUCUGAUUUGGAAGCAGAACUCAUUG